AUGGUCCAAGAGAAAAUAGAGAAAACAAAUGCUAACAGCCGCCAUGUGGCAAUCCCAGUUCUGCAAGAGAAACUAGCCAAGACUCAGGUGGCUAGGGGACAGCUGAAUUUCAAGGGCAAGAGCCUCAAACUCAACUCCACGGAAGAUGCUAAAUAUGUGAUUAAAGAGACUGAAGACUUUGACAAGUUGGAGACUCUGUGUCUGGAAGGCAACACAGUGGGCAUGGAAGCAGCCCGAGUCAUCGCCAAGGCCUUAGAGAAGAAGUCAGAGUUGAAGUGCUGCCACUGGAGCGACAUGUUCACAGGGAGGCUGCGGUCCGAGAUCCGCAGCCCUGAUCUCACUAGGGGAAGGACUCAUCACAGCUGGGGCCCAGCUGGUGGAACUGGAUUUAAGUAGCAACGCAUUCGGGCCUGACGGUGUGCAAGGCUUUGAUGCCCUACUCAAGAGCUCAGCCUGUUUCACCCUGCACGAACUCCAGCUCAACAACUGCGGCAUAGGUUUUGGGGGCAGCAAGAUCCUGGCUGCAGCUCUGACUGAGUGUCACUGGAAAUCCAGUGCCCAAAGCAAGCCUCUGGCCCUGAAGGUCUUUGUGGCUGGCAGAAACCAUCUGAGGAACGAUGGCACCGCUGCAUUGGCAGAAGCUUUUAGGGUCACUGGGACCGUGGAGGAGGUCCACAUGCCACAGAAUGGGAUCAACCACCCUGGUGUCACUGCCCUGGCCCAGGCUUUUGCCGUCAACCCCUGCUGCAGGUCAUCAACCUGAACCCCACCACCUUCAGUGAGAAGGGCACUGUGGCCAUGGCCGAGACCUUGAAGACCUUGCAGCAGGUAGAGGUGAUCAAUUCUGGGGACUGCCUGGUGCGCUCCAAGGGUGCUGUUGCCAUUGCAGAUGCCAUCCACAGUGGCCUGCCCAAGCUGAAGGAACUGAACUUGUCAUUCUGUGAAAUCAAGAGAGAUGCUGCCCUGGCUGUUACUGAGGCCAUGGCAGACAAAGCUGAGCUGGAGAAGCUGGACCUGAAUGGCAACACCCUGGGAGAAGGCUGUGAGCAGCUGCAGGAGGUGCUGGACGGCUUCAACAUGGCCAAGGUGCUGGCAUCCCUCAGUGAUGAGGACAAGGAAGAAGGAGAAGAGGAAGAAGAGGAAGCGGAGGAAGAAGAUAAGGAAGAAGAAUAAGAGGAAGAAGGGGAAAAGGAAAAGCCUUAGCAUCAAGUGUAGGGAAAGAAGUCAGCCACACCCUCACAGAAGAGUCUGGACCCUAACCCUGGGAAGCCAGCUCCCGUGCUCCCCACCUCCUGUAGGUCUCCACCUUCCUGGCCUUUCCAUCUCCAGAGAAGGUGCUACACCUGGGGCCAAGAGCUCUGUGCUGAUAGCCCAGCAGACUGACACACCUGACCCCGAGAAGGUGGUCUCUGCCUUCCUAAAGGUGUCAUAUGUGUUCAAGGACGAAGCCACUGUGAGACAGCAGUGCAGGAUGCAAUAGAUGCCCUGAUGAAGAAGGCCUUUAGUUCCUCAUCCUUCAACUCCAACACCUUCCUCACCAGGCUCCUCAUACACAUGGGUCUGCUCAAGAGUGAAGACAAGGUCAAGGCCAUUGCCAACCUCUACGGCCCCCUGAUGGUGCUGACCACAUGGUGCAGCAGGGCUAUUUCCCCAAGGCCCUUGCACCCCUGCUGCUGGCGUUCAUGACCAAGCCCAACAGCACCCUGGAAUACUGCUGCUUUGCCCACAACAAUCUGCUGUAGAUGCUGUACAAGGUCUAGACUCAAAGCCUCUCCCAUCCUUUGGCCUGGACCAAUGACCUGGGGAGGGAGUUAGAUGAACUGAGGUGCAGCCUACACCAUCCCCUUGGACAGUACUCUGGCCAGAGGCAGGGCGGGUCUGUGUCCCAUGUGUCC
Cebus imitator (Panamanian white-faced capuchin) is the source of this 1895-nucleotide RNA transcript. It is a transcript of the gene named ran GTPase-activating protein 1-like, with no coding region annotated. The transcript has 2 exons. Lineage: Eukaryota; Metazoa; Chordata; Mammalia; Primates; Cebidae. The record is from RefSeq and is a predicted model, not a curated record.